GACGUGGGGGCACCCUGACCGCAAUGCCGCGUGAGUGAAGAAGGCCUUCGGGUUGUAAAGCUCUUUUGUCAGGGAAGAAACACCGGCUCUAACACAGUCCGGGAAUGACGGUACCUGAAGAAUAAGCACCGGCUAACUACGUGCCAGCAGCCGCGGUAUACGUAGGGUGCAAGCGUUAAUCGGAAUUACUGGGCGUAAAGCGUGCGCGGGCGGUUAUACAAGACAGGCGUGAAAUCCCCGGGCUUAGCCUGGGAAUGGCGCCUGUGACUGUAUAGCUAGAGUGUGUCAGAGGGGGGUAGAAUUCCACGUGUAGCAGUGAAAUGCGUAGAUAUGUGGAGGAAUACCAAUGGCGAAGGCAGCCCCCUGGGAUAACACUGACGCUCAUGCACGAAA
This 393-nucleotide ribosomal RNA is filed under the name uncultured bacterium. RNAcentral's name for it is "bacterial SSU rRNA". It matches the Rfam family "Bacterial small subunit ribosomal RNA", at positions 368 to 758 of the family's 1533-position model. The record is from RNAcentral.